Molecule: ribosomal RNA, 253 nt
Filed under: uncultured bacterium
Lineage: Bacteria
Description: partial 16S ribosomal RNA
Rfam family: Bacterial small subunit ribosomal RNA
Source: RNAcentral
UACGAAGGGGGCUAGCGUUGCUCGGAAUGACUGGGCGUAAAGGGCGCGUAGGCGGCUGUGACAGUCAGGCGUGAAAUUCCUGGGCUCAACCUGGGGACUGCGCUUGAGACGUGUGGGCUUGAGUGGGGAAGAGGGUCGUGGAAUUCCCAGUGUAGAGGUGAAAUUCGUAGAUAUUGGGAAGAACACCGGUGGCGAAGGCGGCGACCUGGUCCUUGACUGACGCUGAGGCGCGAAAGCGUGGGGAGCAAACAGG